AAACCAACAGGGAUUGCCUCAGUAACGGCGAGCGAAGCGGCAAAAGCUCAAAUUUGAAAGCUAGCGUCAUUUUUGGCGUUCGCGUUGUAAUUUGAAGAUGGCAACUUUGGAAAUGGCCUUUGCACAUGUUCCUUGGAAUAGGACAUCAUAGAGGGUGAGAAUCCCGUACAUGGUGAGGUGCCCAUUUCUUUGUAAAGUGCUUUCUAAGAGUCGAGUUGUUUGGGAAUGCAGCUCUAAUUGGGUGGUAAAUUCCAUCUAAAGCUAAAUAUAGGCGAGAGACCGAUAGUGAACAAGUACAGUGAUGGAAAGAUGAAAAGAACUUUGAAAAGAGAGUGAAAAAGUACGUGAAAUUGUUGAAAGGGAAGGGCUUGAGAUCAGACUUGGAUUUUAGUGAUCAACUGUCUUUCGGGACUGUGCACUCGCUAUUUUCUAGGCCAACAUCAGUUUUGACGGUGGGAUAAUAGUAGAGGAAUGUGACUUUGCUUCGGUAAAGUGUUAUAGCCUCAUGCUGAUGCCACCAGUCGAGACUGAGGACCGCGCUUUAUAGCUAGGAUGUUGGCGUAAUGAUCUUAAGCCAC
This 578-nucleotide ribosomal RNA is filed under the name Blastobotrys sp. RNAcentral describes it as "partial large subunit ribosomal RNA". It matches the Rfam family "Eukaryotic large subunit ribosomal RNA", at positions 62 to 648 of the family's 3401-position model. Lineage: Eukaryota; Fungi; Ascomycota; Dipodascomycetes; Dipodascales; Trichomonascaceae. The record is from RNAcentral.